RNAcentral lists this ribosomal RNA (460 nucleotides) under uncultured bacterium. RNAcentral's name for it is "partial 16S ribosomal RNA". It matches the Rfam family "Bacterial small subunit ribosomal RNA", at positions 338 to 795 of the family's 1533-position model. The record is from RNAcentral.
CCUACGGGUGGCAGCAGUGAGGAAUAUUGGUCAAUGGGCGAGAGCCUGAACCAGCCAAGUAGCGUGAAGGAUGACUGCCCUACGGGUUGUAAACUUCUGUUAUAAAGGAAUAAAGUGAGGCACGUGUGCCUUUUUGUAUGUACUUGAUGAAUUAGGAUCGGCUAACUCCGUGCCAGCAGCCGCGGUAAUACGGAGGAUCCGAGCGUUAUCCGGAUUUAUUGGGGUUAAAGGGAGCGUAGAUGGGUUGUUCAGUAAGUUGUGAAAGUUGUCGGCUCAACAGUAAAAUUGCAAUUGAUACUGGCAGUCUUGAGUACAGUUGAUGUAGGCGGAAUUCGUGGUGUAGCAGUGAAAUGCUUAGAUAUCACGAAGAACUCCGAUUGCGAAGGCAGCUUACUAAACUGCCACUGACAUUGAUGCUCGAAAGUGUGGGUAUCAAACAUGAUUAGAUACCCGGGUAGUC